GUAGAACUUUCAGUCACCCCCAAAAGCAUCAAGUGGCCAAGUGAGGUACAUGCCAUUGUGUCCACUGUUCUCUCAUGGCAACUGGAGAUCACAGGCAAGUUCUAUCUUGGAUUCUGAAGUUCCAUGGCUUUGUCUUUUGGGCUAUCCAAGAUUGUUAGAGCAAUUUUUCUAUCCAAACUGGGUUCAGAAGUCAUGACUGAAACUAGACUGGGUCCAGGAUUUGACUGAAUCUGAUAAUUGACUGGCGUGGAUCCAGAUAGAGUCCUUGGAUAUCUGACUGGGUUGCAGACAGAAAUUGGAAGCAAUGGCAGUACUGCAGGAGGUAGGGAAAAAAGUCAUUGACUAAGUUGAUCAAGGGAAUCCAAAAGCCAAAGCCAAGAUUCAAUGUAAAAUGAGUUUCUUAGUUUCUGGAAAACUGCAUACUCCAUCUUCUGGCUACAUCUACCUACAUACAAGUGAGGAGCUGAGGAGCUUGAGCAAGAUCAUGCAGCUGGUGAAAGAGUCAGAGCUGGUGUCUCCAACAGAUCUUCCAGAGCCAAGAAUCUAGCACCCUGUUUUCUAUACAAUGGCCAAUUCCAUCGAAAUCCUCAUUACAGGAUUUUCACUCUCCAGAGCAGGGUCUUCAGCAAGCCCAUUACUUAAGAACAUUCUGGUUCCUGAAGGGCCACUACUCAUUCAAUAACAAAGUUCAGAAUAAACAAAUCCA
Molecule: long non-coding RNA, 706 nt
Filed under: Callithrix jacchus (white-tufted-ear marmoset)
Lineage: Eukaryota; Metazoa; Chordata; Mammalia; Primates; Cebidae
Description: lncRNA (ENSCJAG00000057563.2)
Source: RNAcentral